UACAGAGGGUGCAAGCGUUGUCCGGAAUCAUUGGGCGUAAAGGGCGCGUAGGCGGCCCGGAAAGUAGGGGGUGAAAUCUCACGGCUCAACUGUGAGGCUGCCUUCUAGACUGCCAGGCUCGAGCACAGUAGAGGCUGGUGGAAUUCCCGGUGUAGCGGUGGAAUGCGUAGAGAUCGGGAAGAACAUCUGUGGCGAAGGCGGCCAGCUGGGCUGUUGCUGACGCUGAUGCGCGACAGCGUGGGGAGCAAACAGG
Molecule: ribosomal RNA, 253 nt
Filed under: uncultured bacterium
Lineage: Bacteria
Description: partial 16S ribosomal RNA
Rfam family: Bacterial small subunit ribosomal RNA
Source: RNAcentral